UACAGAGGGUGCAAGCGUUAAUCGGAUUUACUGGGCGUAAAGCGUGCGUAGGCGGUUCAUUAAGUCGGUUGUGAAAUCCCUGGGCUUAACCUGGGAACUGCAGUCGAUACUGGUGGACUAGAAUGCGGUAGAGGGUGGCGGAACUCCGGGUGUAGCGGUGAACUGCGUAGAUAUCCGGAAGAACACCGAUGGCGAAGGCAACCACCUGGGCCUGCAUUGACGCUGAGGUACGAAAGCUAGGGGAGCAAACAGG
RNAcentral lists this ribosomal RNA (253 nucleotides) under uncultured bacterium. RNAcentral's name for it is "partial 16S ribosomal RNA". It matches the Rfam family "Bacterial small subunit ribosomal RNA", at positions 524 to 776 of the family's 1533-position model. The record is from RNAcentral.